GGCCUCACUCCUGUAGCACAUAUAACAACACUGGACUAUUACAGAGAAAAUUAGCAUAGUGCCUGUGCAAAAAUGACUCAUGAAUUUGUAAAGUUGCCAUAUUUUU
Molecule: small nuclear RNA, 106 nt
Organism: Equus asinus (donkey)
Lineage: Eukaryota; Metazoa; Chordata; Mammalia; Perissodactyla; Equidae
Source: Ensembl